GUAGGUGGCAAGCGUUGUCCGGAAUUAUUGGGCGUAAAGCGCGCGCAGGCGGUUCUUUAAGUCUGAUGUGAAAGCCCACGGCUCAACCGUGGAGGGUCAUUGGAAACUGGAGAACUUGAGUACAGAAGAGGAAAGCGGAAUUCCACGUGCAGCGGUGAAAUGCGUAGAGAUGUGGAGGAACACCAGUGGCGAAGGCGGCUUUCUGGUCUGUAACUGACGCUGAGGCGCGAAAGCGUGGGGGAGCAAACAGGAUUAGAUACCCUGGUAGUCCACGCCGUAAACGAUGAGUGCUAAGUGUUAGGGGGUUUUCCGCCCCUUAGUGCUGCAGCUAACGCAUUAAGCACUCCGCCUGGGAGUACGGCCGCAAGGCUG
Molecule: ribosomal RNA, 372 nt
Filed under: uncultured organism
Description: partial 16S ribosomal RNA
Rfam family: Bacterial small subunit ribosomal RNA
Source: RNAcentral